AGCUCCAUUAGCGUAUAUUAAAGUUGUUGCAGUUAAAAAGCUCGUAGUUGGAUUUCGGUGUGGGCCAGUCGGUCGGCCGCAAGGCUUGUUCACUGGCUGGUCUGCUCUCUCAAUCUCAAAGACUGCACGUGCUCUUCACUGUAGUGUGUGUCAGGAUUUGGGACGUUUACUUUGAAAAAAUUAGAGUGUUCAAAGCAGGCUUUCGCUUGAAUACAUUAGCAUGGAAUAACAUGAUAGGACUCCGAUCCCAUUGUGUUGGUCUUCGGGACUGGAGUAAUGAUUAAGAGGGACAGUUGGGGGCAUUCGUAUUUCAUUGUCAGAGGUGAAAUUCUUGGAUUUAUGAAAGACGAACUUCUGCGAAAGCAUUUGCCAAGGAUGUUUUCAUUAAUCAAGAACGAAA
This 400-nucleotide ribosomal RNA is filed under the name phytoplankton environmental sample. RNAcentral describes it as "partial small subunit ribosomal RNA". It matches the Rfam family "Eukaryotic small subunit ribosomal RNA", at positions 587 to 988 of the family's 1831-position model. The record is from RNAcentral.